GAGGUUGUGGCUUAGUGGUAGAGCGUUCACCUAGCAAGUGCGAGGCCCUGGGUUUGAUCCUCAGCAUCA
Molecule: transfer RNA, 69 nt
Filed under: Ictidomys tridecemlineatus (thirteen-lined ground squirrel)
Lineage: Eukaryota; Metazoa; Chordata; Mammalia; Rodentia; Sciuridae
Description: Spermophilus tridecemlineatus (thirteen-lined ground squirrel) tRNA
Rfam family: tRNA
About the family: Transfer RNA (tRNA) molecules are approximately 80 nucleotides in length. Their secondary structure includes four short double-helical elements and three loops (D, anti-codon, and T loops).
Source: Rfam by way of RNAcentral